AAAAAUAGGUCCCUUCAAAGCACAUACUUCCAUUGGAAGACCUGAAUUCUCCCCUAUCCCUUGUACUCUUGAACUUUUCACCCAUCUGGCCAUCACCUACGUCGUAUUUGCCUGAAUUCUCCCUGUAACAUUUUGUGUCCAUAUAUAUUCUUUUGUCACGUUUUCUUGGUGUACAAUGUAGUCCUCCAUUCAGUCUGUUUUGUGUCCAAUUUUUUUUAUCUUAUUGGUGGUCUGAUGGAAUCUGGGAAAGUCGUCCUUUAACUGCUGCUGCUGGAGGGACUGGAAAUUUGCAGUCCAGCUUGCAAAACUAGCAGGAAAUAAAGUUGUUGCCACUUGCGGAUGAAAAGAAAAGGCGAGGCUUUGAAAGAGUUGGGGGUUUGAUCGAGUCAUAGACUAUAAAGCUGAAGAUAUCAGAACUGUUCUCAAAGAUGAGUUUCCAAAAGGAGUUGACAUUGUCUACGAAUCUGUAGGUGGUGACAUGUUUGAUUUGUGCUUGAAUGCUUUGGCUAUCCGUUGGCGACUCAUUGUUGUAGGAAUGAUCUCUCAGGUGUUUCUUUCAGAGUGAACAAACUAAAAUUUUCCCAUGUAGUCAAUCUUAAUAUUUGCAAUUUAUCGCUUAUGUUUUUUUCUUGGGACCUAUCGUCUUUCUUAUUUGGUUAAACUAUCUGUUUCAUAUGUAUAGUAUCAAGGAUAGCAUGGGUGGCAACCGAAAAUUAUCCUGGUCUGUGGAGAAGCUUUUAGCCAAAAGCUAAAACGUGUUAUGUUGUUAAUUAUGAACUUUAAGUUGUUUAUAAGCUGUCCU
Long non-coding RNA from Hibiscus syriacus, 802 nucleotides. RefSeq lists it as uncharacterized. Lineage: Eukaryota; Viridiplantae; Streptophyta; Magnoliopsida; Malvales; Malvaceae. The transcript has 3 exons. The record is from RefSeq and is a predicted model, not a curated record.